CGUUAGCGGCGGACGGGUGAGUAACACGUGGAUAACCUACCUAUAAGACUGGGAUAACUUCGGGAAACCGGAGCUAAUACCGGAUAAUAUAUUGAACCGCAUGGUUCAAUAGUGAAAGACGGUUUUGCUGUCACUUAUAGAUGGAUCCGCGCCGCAUUAGCUAGUUGGUAAGGUAACGGCUUACCAAGGCAACGAUGCGUAGCCGACCUGAGAGGGUGAUCGGCCACACUGGAACUGAGACACGGUCCAGACUCCUACGGGAGGCAGCAGUAGGGAAUCUUCCGCAAUGGGCGAAAGCCUGACGGAGCAACGCCGCGUGAGUGAUUAAGGUCUUCGGAUCGUAAAACUCUGUUAUUAGGGAAGAACAAAUGUGUAAGUAACUAUGCACGUCUUGACGGUACCUAAUCAGAAAGCCACGGCUAACUACGUGCCAGCAGCCGCGGUAAUACGUAGGUGGCAAGCGUUAUCCGGAAUUAUUGGGCGUAAAGCGCGCGUAGGCGGUUUUUUAAGUCUGAUGUGAAAGCCCACGGCUCAACCGUGGAGGGUCAUUGGAAACUGGAGAACUUGAGUGCAGAAGAGGAAAGUGGAAUUCCAUGUGUAGCGGUGAAAUGCGCAGAGAUAUGGAGGAACACCAGUGGCGAAGGCGACUUUCUGGUCUGUAACUGACGCUGAUGUGCGAAGGCGUGGGGAUCAAACAGGAUUAGAUACCCUGGUAGUCCACGCCGUAAACGAUGAGUGCUAAGUGUUAGGGGGUUUCCGCCCCUUAGUGCUGCAGCUAACGCAUUAAGCACUCCGCCUGGGGAGUACGACCGCAAGGU
RNAcentral lists this ribosomal RNA (818 nucleotides) under uncultured bacterium. RNAcentral's name for it is "bacterial SSU rRNA". It matches the Rfam family "Bacterial small subunit ribosomal RNA", at positions 90 to 894 of the family's 1533-position model. The record is from RNAcentral.